This 464-nucleotide ribosomal RNA is filed under the name uncultured bacterium. RNAcentral describes it as "partial 16S ribosomal RNA". It matches the Rfam family "Bacterial small subunit ribosomal RNA", at positions 338 to 795 of the family's 1533-position model. The record is from RNAcentral.
CCUACGGGAGGCAGCAGUGGGGAAUAUUGCGCAAUGGGCGCAAGCCUGACGCAGCGACGCCGCGUGAGGGAUGAAGGUCUUCGGAUCGUAAACCUCUGUCAGCAGGGAAGAACGGUCACUGUGCUAAUCAGCAGUGAAUUGACGGUACCUGCAACGGAAGCACCGGCUAACUCCGUGCCAACAGCCGCGGUAAUAGGGAGGGUGCGAGCGUUAAUCGGAAUUACUGGGCGUAAAGCGCUGGUAGGCGGUAUGUCAAGUCAGCGGUAAAAUCGCGGGGCUAAACCUCGCUCUGCCUUUGAAACUGGCGGUCUUGAGUGGGCGAGAAGCAGGCGGAAUGCGUGGUGUAGCGGUGAAAUGCAUAGAUAUCGCGCAGAACUCCGAUGGCGAAGGCAGCAUACCGGCGCCCAACUGACGCUGAGGCACGAAAGCGUGGGUAUCGAACAGGAUUAGAUACCCUAGUAGUC